This is a long non-coding RNA of Polypterus senegalus (gray bichir), 310 nucleotides long. RefSeq lists it as uncharacterized. Lineage: Eukaryota; Metazoa; Chordata; Cladistia; Polypteriformes; Polypteridae. The record is from RefSeq and is a predicted model, not a curated record. The transcript is spliced from 3 exons.
UGUGUAACGACUACUGAUCUGUUUUUCAUUUCCAGUACACCUCUGUGGACGGAGACCCUCGAGGGGAGGAUUAUCAUCAUAAUUCCAUCAUCGCUAGCUGGGACAGUCUGACAGAGGUGGAAGGAAGUAAUUCUUCUGUGGUGGCGAUCUGCGCCACCACCACCUGAUCAACGCACCAUACAGCCCCCUGAGAUGACGAAAUGAAGGCGGGUGUCUCUGCUGUCCAUGAGACCAGCUUCAUCAAAUCCUAUCAUGUGAAACAUGAAAACUAAGAGGUUUGAUUUAGGAACAUUUAUGUUUGGUAGAAUAU